RNAcentral lists this long non-coding RNA (5441 nucleotides) under Pan troglodytes (chimpanzee). RNAcentral describes it as "long non-coding RNA NONPTRT002686". Lineage: Eukaryota; Metazoa; Chordata; Mammalia; Primates; Hominidae. The record is from RNAcentral.
CAGGUUUCCCAGAGUCCUUGGGACGCAGCGACGAGUUGUGCUGUUACCUUAGCCGUCCUUAUAGGCUGGCCAUUCCAGGUGGCGGCGGAAGGUGAUCGAAUUCCGGUGAUGCGAGUUGUUCUCCGUCUAUAAAUACGCCUCGCCCGAGCUGUGCGGCAGGCAGUGAGGCAGCCAGCGCAGGGGCUUCUGCUGAGGGCGCAGGCGGAGCUUGAGGAAACCGCAGAUAAGUUUUUUUCACUUUGAAAGAUAGAGAUUAAUACAACUACUUAAAAAAUAUAGUCAAUAGGUUACUAAGAUAUUGCUUAGCGUUAAGCUUUUAACGUAAUUUUAAUAGCUUAAGAUUUUAAGAGAAAAUAUGAAGACUUAGAAGAGUAGCAUGACGAAGGAAAAGAUAAAAGAUUUCUAAAACAUGACGGAGGUUGAGAUGAAGCUUCUUCAUGGAGUAAAAAAUGUAUUUAAAAGAAAAUUGAGAGAAAGGACUACAGAGCCCUGAAUUAAUACCAAUAGAAGGGCAAUGCUUUUAGAUUAAAAUGAAGGUGACUUAAACAGCUUAAAGUUUACUUUAAAAGUUGUAGGUGAUUAAAAUAAUUUGAAGGCGAUCUUUUAAAAAGAGAUUAAACCGAAGGUGAUUAAAAGACCUUGAAAUCCAUGACGCAGGGAGAAUUGCGUCAUUUAAAGCCUAGUUAACGCAUUUAAACGCAGACGAAAAUGGAAAGAUUAGUUGGGAGUGGUAGGAUGAAACGAUUUGGAGAAGAUAGAAGUUUGAAGUGGAAAACUGGAAGACAGAAGUACAGGAAGGCGGAGAAAAGAAUAGAGAAGAUAGGGAAAUUAGAAGAUAAAAACAUACUUUUAGAAGAAAAAAGAUAAAUUUAAACCUGAAAAGUAGGAAGCAGAAGAAAAAAGACAAGCUAGGAAACAAAAAACUAAGGGCAAAAUGUACAAACUUAGAAGAAAAUUGGAAGAUAGAAACAAGAUAGAAAAUGAAAAUAUUGUCAAGAGUUUCAGAUAGAAAAUGAAAAACAAGCUAAGACAAGUAUUGGAGAAGUAUAGAAGAUAGAAAAAUAUAAAGCCAAAAAUUGGAUAAAAUAGCACUGAAAAAGUGAGGAAAUUAUUGGUAACCAAUUUAUUUUAAAAGCCCAUCAAUUUAAUUUCUGGUGGUGCAGAAGUUAGAAGGUAAAGCUUGAGAAGAUGAGGGUGUUUACGUAGACCAGAACCAAUUUAGAAGAAUACUUGAAGCUAGAAGGGGAAGUUGGUUAAAAAUCACAUCAAAAAAGGACUGGUGUAAUUUAAAAAAAAACUAAGGCAGAAGGCUUUUGGAAGAGUUAGAAGAAUUUGGAAGGCCUUAAAUAUAGUAGCUUAGUUUGAAAAAUGUGAAGGACUUUCGUAACGGAAGUAAUUCAAGAUCAAGAGUAAUUACCAACUUAAUGUUUUUGCAUUGGACUUUGAGUUAAGAUUAUUUUUUAAAUCCUGAGGACUAGCAUUAAUUGACAGCUGACCCAGGUGCUACACAGAAGUGGAUUCAGUGAAUCUAGGAAGACAGCAGCAGACAGGAUUCCGGGAACCAGUGUUUGAUGAAGCUAGGACUGAGGAGCAAGCGAGCAAGCAGCAGUUCGUGGUGAAGAUAGGAAAAGAGUCCAGGAGCCAGUGCGAUUUGGUGAAGGAAGCUAGGAAGAAGGAAGGAGCGCUAACGAUUUGGUGGUGAAGCUAGGAAAAAGGAUUCCAGAAAGGAGCGAGUGCGAUUUGGUGAUGAAGCUAGCAGGCGGCUUGGCUUGGCAACCACACGGAGGAGGCGAGCAGGCGUUGUGCGUAGAUAGAGGAUCCUAGACCAGCAUGCCAGUGUGCCAAGGCCACAGGGAAAACGAGUGGUUGGUAAAAAUCCGUGAGGUCGGCAAUAUGUUGUUUUUCUGGAACUUAUGGUAACCUUUUAUUUAUUUUCUAAUAUAAUGGGGGAGUUUCGUACUGAGGUGUAAAGGGAUUUAUAUGGGGAACGUAGGCCGAUUUCCGGGUGUUGUAGGUUUCUCUUUUUCAGGCUUAUACUCAUGAAUCUUGUCUGAAGCUUUUGAGGGCAGACUGCCAAGUCCUGGAGAAAUAGUAGAUGGCAAGUUUGUGGGUUUUUUUUUUUUUUUUUUUUUUUUUUACGAAUUUGAGGAAAACCAAAUGAAUUUGAUAGCCAAAUUGAGACAAUUUCAGCAAAUCUGUAAGCAGUUUGUAUGUUUAGUUGGGGUAAAUGAAGUAUUUCAGUUUUGUGAAUAGAUGACCUGUUUUUACUUCCUCACCCUGAAUUCGUUUUGUAAAUGUAGAGUUUGGAUGUGUAACUGAGGCGGGGGGGAGUUUUCAGUAUUUUUUUUUUGUGGGGGUGGGGGCAAAAUAUGUUUUCAGUUCUUUUUCCCUUAGGUCUGUCUAGAAUCCUAAAGGCAAAUGACUCAAGGUGUAACAGAAAACAAGAAAAUCCAAUAUCAGGAUAAUCAGACCACCACAGGUUUACAGUUUAUAGAAACUAGAGCAGUUCUCACGUUGAGGUCUGUGGAAGAGAUGUCCAUUGGAGAAAUGGCUGGUAGUUACUCUUUUUUCCCCCCACCCCCUUAAUCAGACUUUAAAAGUGCUUAACCCCUUAAACUUGUUAUUUUUUACUUGAAGCAUUUUGGGAUGGUCUUAACAGGGAAGAGAGAGGGUGGGGGAGAAAAUGUUUUUUUCUAAGAUUUUCCACAGAUGCUAUAGUACUAUUGACAAACUGGGUUAGAGAAGGAGUGUACCGCUGUGCUGUUGGCACGAACACCUUCAGGGACUGGAGCUGCUUUUAUCCUUGGAAGAGUAUUUCCAGUUGAAGCUGAAAAGUACAGCACAGUGCAGCUUUGGUUCAUAUUCAGUCAUCUCAGGAGAACUUCAGAAGAGCUUGAGUAGGCCAAAUGUUGAAGUUAAGUUUUCCAAUAAUGUGACUUCUUAAAAGUUUUAUUAAAGGGGAGGGGCAAAUAUUGGCAAUUAGUUGGCAGUGGCCUGUUACGGUUGGGAUUGGUGGGGUGGGUUUAGGUAAUUGUUUAGUUUAUGAUUGCAGAUAAACUCAUGCCAGAGAACUUAAAGUCUUAGAAUGGAAAAAGUAAAGAAAUAUCAACUUCCAAGUUGGCAAGUAACUCCCAAUGAUUUAGUUUUUUUCCCCCCAGUUUGAAUUGGGAAGCUGGGGGAAGUUAAAUAUGAGCCACUGGGUGUACCAGUGCAUUAAUUUGGGCAAGGAAAGUGUCAUAAUUUGAUACUGUAUCUGUUUUCCUUCAAAGUAUAGAGCUUUUGGGGAAGGAAAGUAUUGAACUGGGGGUUGGUCUGGCCUACUGGGCUGACAUUAAUUACAAUUAUGGGAAAUGCAAAAGUUGUUUGGAUAUGGUAGUGUGUGGUUCUCUUUUGGAAUUUUUUUCAGGUGAUUUAAUAAUAAUUUAAAACUACUAUAGAAACUUCAGAGCAAAGGAAGUGGCUUAAUGAUCCUGAAGGGAUUUCUUCUGAUGGUAGCUUUUGUAUUAUCAAACUUUUUUCAGAUAACAUCUUCUGAGUCAUAACCAGCCUGGCAGUAUGAUGGCCUAGAUGCAGAGAAAACAGCUCCUUGACAGGUAUCUCUUCGUUAUCAGAAGAGUUGCUUCAUUUCAUCUGGGAGCAGAAAACAGCAGGCAGCUGUUAACAGAUAAGUUUAACUUGCAUCUGCAGUAUUGCAUGUUAGGGAUAAGUGCUUAUUUUUAAGAGGUGUGGAGUUCUUAAAUAUCAACCAUGGCACUUUCUCCUGACCCCUUCCCUAGGGGAUUUCAGGAUUGAGAAAUUUUUCCAUCGAGCCUCUUUAAAAUUGUAGGACUUGUUCCUGUGGGCUUCAAUGAUGGGAUAGUACACUUCACUCAGAGGCAUUUGCAUCUUUAAAUAAUUUCUUAAAAGCCUCUAAAGUGAUCAGUGCCUUGAUGCCAACUAAGGAAAUUUGUUUAGCAUUGAAUCUCUGAAGGCUCUAUGAAAGGAAUAGCAUGAUGUGCUGUUAGAAUCAGAUGUUAUUGCUAAAAUUUACAUGUUGUGUUGUGAUGUAAAUUGUGUAGAAAACCAUUAAAUCAUUCAAAAUAAUAAACUAUUUUUAUUAGAGAAUGUAUACUUUUAGAAAGCUGUCUCCUUAUUUAAAUACAAUACUGUUUGUCUGUAGUUUAGUGUUGGGGCAAUCUUGGGGGGGAUUCUUCUCUAAUCUUUCAGAAACUUUGUCUGCGAACACUCUUUAAUGGACCAGAUCAGGAUUUGAGCGGAAGAACGAAUGUAACUUUAAGGCAGGAAAGACAAAUUUUAUUCUUCAUAAAGUGAUGAGCAUAUAAUAAUUCCAGGCACAUGGCAAUAGAGGCCCUCUAAAUAAGGAAUAAAUAACCUCUUAGACAGGUGGGAGAUUAUGAUCAGAGUAAAAGGUAAUUACACAUUUUAUUUCCAGAAAGUCAGGGGUCUAUAAAUUGACAGUGAUUAGAGUAAUACUUUUUCACAUUUCCAAAGUUUGCAUGUUAACUUUAAAUGCUUACAAUCUUAGAGUGGUAGGCAAUGUUUUACAUUAUUGACCUUAUAUAGGGAAGGGAGGGGGUGCCUGUGGGUUUUUAAAGAAUUUUCCUUUGCAGAGGCAUUUCAUCCUUCAUGAAGCUGUUCAGGAUUUUGAAUUGCAUAUGAGUGCUUGGCUCUUCCUUCUGUUCUCCUAACUUCACAGAGAAUGCAGUUGUCUUGACUUCAGGUCUGUCUGUUCUGUUGGCAAGUAAAUGCAGUACUGUUCUGAUCCCGCUGCUAUUAGAAUGCAUUGUGAAACGACUGGAGUAUGAUUAAAAGUUGUGUUCCCCAAUGCUUGGAGUAGUGAUUGUUGAAGGAAAAAAUCCAGCUGAGUGAUAAAGGCUGAGUGUUGAGGAAAUUUCUGCAGUUUUAAGCAGUCGUAUUUGUGAUUGAAGCUGAGUACAUUUUGCUGGUGUAUUUUUAGGUAAAAUGCUUUUUGUUCAUUUCUGGUGCUGGGAGGGGACUGAAGCCUUUAGUCUUUUCCAGAUGCAACCUUAAAAUCAGUGACAAGAAACAAAUUCCAAACAAGCAACAGUCUUCAAGAAAUUAAACUGGCAAGUGGAAAUGUUUAAACAGUUCAGUGAUCUUUAGUGCAUUGUUUUUGUGUGGGUUUCUCUCUCCCCUCCCUUGGUCUUAAUUCUUACAUGCAGGAACACUCAGCAGACACACGUAUGCGAAGGGCCAGAGAAGCCAGACCCAGUAAGAAAAAAUAGCCUAUUUACUUUAAAUAAACCAAACAUUCCAUUUUAAAUGUGGGGAUUGGGAACCACUAGUUCUUUCAGAUGGUAUUCUUCAGACUAUAGAAGGAGCUUCCAGUUGAAUUCACCAGUGGACAAAAUGAGGAAAACAGGUGAACAAGCUUUUUCUGUAUUUACAUACAAAGUCAGAUCAGUUAUGGGACAAUAGUA